This 467-nucleotide ribosomal RNA is filed under the name uncultured bacterium. RNAcentral's name for it is "partial 16S ribosomal RNA". It matches the Rfam family "Bacterial small subunit ribosomal RNA", at positions 28 to 507 of the family's 1533-position model. The record is from RNAcentral.
GAUGAACGCUGGCGGCGUGCUUAACACAUGCAAGUCGAACGAUGAAGCCCAGCUUGCUGGGUGGAUUAGUGGCGAACGGGUGAGUAACACGUGAGCAACCUGCCCCUGACUCUGGGAUAAGCGCUGGAAACGGCGUCUAAUACCGGAUAUGUCCCGUCACCGCAUGGUGUGCGGGUGGAAAGAUUUUUCGGUUGGGGAUGGGCUCGCGGCCUAUCAGCUUGUUGGUGAGGUAAUGGCUCACCAAGGCGUCGACGGGUAGCCGGCCUGAGAGGGUGACCGGCCACACUGGGACUGAGACACGGCCCAGACUCCUACGGGAGGCAGCAGUGGGGAAUAUUGCACAAUGGGCGGAAGCCUGAUGCAGCAACGCCGCGUGAGGGAUGGCGGCCUUCGGGUUGUAAACCUCUUUUAGCAGGGAAGAAGCGAAAGUGACGGUACCUGCAGAAAAAGCACCGGCUAACUACGUG